AAAGUGGCAUUUUGGGGUGAAAACGUCACAUUUUGGGGCGGAAAUGUCACAUUUUGGCGUAGAAAAGCGGCAUUUGGGGGUAGAAAGAAGCCGAAAAGGUGCCUUUUGGGGCCAGGAGAGCCCCGUUUGGGGCAGCGGCCCCCCUUUUGUGGGGUAAGGAGGGGCGUUUUGGGGUUCAGGCCUCGCUGCCCAUCAGCCUCUCCUUGUCGGCGCCGCGGCUCCGGCGGUGGCAGCGUUGUGUGGCAGCGGGACGGGUCAGCAGCAGCGCCAGCAGCGCCAGCAGCAGCACAGCCAGCAGCACACCUGUGGGGUGCCAGCUGCUGCCGUCAC
RNAcentral lists this long non-coding RNA (330 nucleotides) under Gallus gallus (chicken). Lineage: Eukaryota; Metazoa; Chordata; Aves; Galliformes; Phasianidae. The record is from RNAcentral.